RNAcentral lists this long non-coding RNA (1070 nucleotides) under Numida meleagris (helmeted guineafowl). RNAcentral's name for it is "lncRNA (ENSNMEG00000002535.1)". Lineage: Eukaryota; Metazoa; Chordata; Aves; Galliformes; Numididae. The record is from RNAcentral.
CGCAUGCGCGCCGCGCGCUCGCCCCGCACCUACGUGCCGCGCGGCGCCCCCCUCCCCGCCGAGCGCCGCUCGAUUUUCCGAUUGGCCCGCCGCCGGCCAAUCGACGGGCGGGACGGCUCGCACUCUGCCUAGCGACGCGGAAAGCCGCUCGCCUAUUGGGCGAGAGCGCCGAGCGCCGUCCUCGCCCGCUUCCCGCCGCCGCGCGCCCGCCGCCAUUUUGUGAGGGCUCUUCGGGGGGGUGGAGGGCGGUGGGGCUGAGCCCGGGGGCGGCCCCGGAGCUCGCACGGGACCCCCAACGCCGGGCCCGGCUCCGUGGGGCGCGGGGGGAACCGAACGAGCCCCGCGGAGUGGGAAACGGAGCCCGGAGCGCGGCGGGAGGGGUGCUGUGCCGGCGGUGCGGUGCGGAACGGAAGGCGCUCCGGGCGCUUAAAGCGCUGAGGGUGUGGAGAGAAACCGCCUUACGGUGAAGCGCUGCUGGAGGAAGCGCUGCUGUGUGAGGAACGGAAACGAGCAGUGGUGGGUUGAGACUCUUCCCACCCCCCCGAAGAUCCUCCCCAUGGGGCCACGCUGGAUCCGAACCGCGCCGCUCGGAGGAAGCGUUGGCAUUUAGAAGUGAAAACCUUGAAAGAAAAGCAAAAACGAAAAAAAAAAUAACCCCAAAACCCACGGAAUGACCCCAAAAAGGGCCCUCGCUGCAAAUGGAGCUGAUGUUGCGCUCUGGGUGAUCUAAAACCAACACUUUUCUUCCAUAAGCCACAGCAGGGGCGAUCUAAGGCGCUUCUUCCCUCAACGAGCCCCAAAAUCCCCCAAAUUUGGGGCAAAAUCCCCUUUAUCCAUCUCUAUGGUCCCUCCGCCCGUCUCUAUGGUCCCACCGCUCCGCCCAGAGCGGCGCUUCCUGCGGAGGCCGGAAGUAGCGCCAGCACGUUGGCGCGGCGGCCGGAAGUGACGCCAACACGCGGCUGCGGCGGCAGGAAGUGACGCCAACACGCGGCUGCGGCGGCAGGAAGUGACGCCAUCGCGAGGCGGCGGAGGCCCGAGGCGGGAGCGGCGGUUGCGGGGAGGUGAGAGGG